This 613-nucleotide ribosomal RNA is filed under the name uncultured bacterium. RNAcentral's name for it is "bacterial SSU rRNA". The stretch from base 1 to 520 matches the Rfam family "Bacterial small subunit ribosomal RNA", at positions 338 to 873 of the family's 1533-position model. The record is from RNAcentral.
CCUACGGGAGGCAGCAGUGGGGAAUCUUGCGCAAUGGGCGAAAGCCUGACGCAGCAACGCCGCGUGUGGGACGAAGGCUCUCGGGUUGUAAACCACUUUCAGCAGGAACGAAAUUGACGGUACCUGCAGAAGAAGCACCGGCCAACUACGUGCCAGCAGCCGCGGUAAUACGUAGGGUGCAAGCGUUGUCCGGAUUUAUUGGGCGUAAAGAGCUCGUAGGCGGCUUUGUAAGUCGGGUGUGAAAACCCCAGGCUCAACCUGGGGACGCCACUCGAUACUGCAAUAGCUAGAGUUUGGUAGGGGAUCACGGAAUUCCUGGUGUAGCGGUGAAAUGCGCAGAUAUCAGGAGGAACACCGGUGGCGAAGGCGGUGAUCUGGGCCAAUACUGACGCUGAGGAGCGAAAGCGUGGGGAGCAAACAGGAUUAGAUACCCUGGUAGUCCACGCCGUAAACGUUGGGCACUAGGUGUGGGCCUUUAUCAACGAGGUCCGUGCCGCAGCUACGCAGUAAGUAGCCCGCCGUCGGGUAGGUACGGUCGCGAGAACGUAAACGUACGAAAGGAAGUUAGUAACGGUCGUGAGACGUGCCGAACGGACGACGACGAGGGAGGAGG